UGCGGGGUCGUCUAACGGUAGGACAUCGCCCUUUGGAGGCGAGUAUCGGGGUCCGAAUCCCUGCCCCGCAGCAA
This 74-nucleotide transfer RNA is filed under the name Candidatus Woesebacteria bacterium RIFCSPHIGHO2_01_FULL_39_95. RNAcentral's name for it is "tRNA-Gln". It matches the Rfam family "tRNA". From Rfam's summary of the family: Transfer RNA (tRNA) molecules are approximately 80 nucleotides in length. Their secondary structure includes four short double-helical elements and three loops (D, anti-codon, and T loops). RNAcentral also lists the same sequence under 4 other names. Lineage: Bacteria; Candidatus Woeseibacteriota. The record is from RNAcentral.